Molecule: ribosomal RNA, 440 nt
Filed under: uncultured bacterium
Lineage: Bacteria
Description: partial 16S ribosomal RNA
Rfam family: Bacterial small subunit ribosomal RNA
Source: RNAcentral
CCUACGGGUGGCAGCAGUAGGGAAUAUUGCUCAAUGGGGGAAACCCUGAAGCAGCAACGCCGCGUGGAGGAUGAAGGUUUUCGGAUUGGAAACUCCUUUUGGUAGAGAAGAAAAUGACGGUAUCUAAAGAAUAAGCACCGGAUAACGCCGUGCCGGCAGCCGCGGUAAUACGGAGGGUGCAAGCGUUACUCGGAAUCACUGGGCGUAAAGAGCGCGUAGGCGGGAUAGCAAGUCAGAUGUGAAAUCCUAUGGCUUAACCAUAGAACUGCCUUUGAAACUGUUAUUCUAGAGUAUGGGAGAGGUAUGUGGAAUGCUUGGUGUAGCGGUAAAAUCCGUAGAGAUCACGCGGAAUACUCAUUGCGAAGGCGACCUGCUAGAACAUAACUGACGCUGAUGCGCGAAAGCGUGGGUAGCAAACAGGAUUAGAUACCCUUGUAGUC